AUAUAUAUAUUAAUAUAUAUAUAUAUAUAUAUGUCUGUGUUAUGCUUACUAUACACUUUUAUAAACUAUGUUUUGAUAAUUCAUUUCUUAACAGAAGAACUUGUCCAUAUACUAUAAUCGUUACUGCUGAUUACUGAAAAUAAAUAGCUGAACAAAUCCGUGUGUUCAAUGGGUUCUGCUCAUCUACAUCGAGUCACGUGACCUCCCUGCUUGCUUCAUUAGGGACGAUACCGUUUAUUUAUGUGUAAUCAUUAUUGUGUGUCGUCAUAGUGUGUCAUUAAAAUGUCAUGAGUUGUGUGAGGGAGCAGUGUGUUGCUAGAGGGCACGUCGGCGAGGAAAUAAACCGCAGAUCCUCUUUUUGAUUAAUGGCACUCGACCACCGAGCAGUCACCCCACGAAAAACGAUGUCAUAAAACAUGGAAUGUUGUCAAAUAUGAUAGUAUAAUAUGUCAUAGGAGUAAAUAAAAAGCUUCUACAAUUUCAUUUGACGCUGACGUUACAUCUGAUAAUUCUGCUGUCUAACAUAGUAACUCUAAUUGGAAGGCUAGUAAUGCUAACAUGAAGGCUAACACAGCACAGCUAGUAAUGCUAACAUGAAGGCUAACACAGCACAGCUAGUAAUGCUAACAUGAAGGCUAACAGCACAGCUAGUAAUGCUAACAUGAAGGCUAACACAGCACAGCUAUUAAUGCUAACAUGAAGGCUAACAGCACAGCUAGUAAUGCUAACAUGAAGGCUAACACAGCACAGCUAGUAAUGCUAACAUGAAGGCUAACACAGCACAGCUAGUAAUGCUAACAUGAAGGCUAACAGCACAGCUAGUAAUGCUAACAUGAAGGAUAACAGCACAGCUAGUAAUGCUAACAUGAAGGCUAACAGCACAGCUAGUAAUGCUAACAUGAAGGCUAACACAGUAAGUAGUGACUUGGUUUUUGGAUUCUGCCAUCUGCUGGUUAUAAUGUGUGAAACUACUCCACCUGCAUGUCACUGAUGGUGUUCCACGCAUCCCCUAAUUGUGAGGCUUUUUUAAAAUAACGUCUCCAAAGAAUUUUGGGGGGACGAGUCGUAUUUAAAGUGUUUUGCCGGGAAAACACUUUUCAUGGCUCGCCGCCAACUUGUAAGUCAAUUUUGGCGCCGAGGAAUCUGUUGCACGUGGAGUGAAUCUGCAGACUGCUUCUCAUUACUACUGGAGAAUAUAUGAUAUAUACGAUAUGUUUCCAGCAUUGAUGGUAAUUUGGGGAACACAGCGGUUCCUGCAGAGCGGCUCCCGGUAUCUCACAGUCCAGCUGAGUUUUGGAUUUCAGUGUUAUUCUGCAAUUUUGUUCAUACACCAUUGAAACAUCCAGCUCAGGGAUCGGCUGAGAUUCCAACCUCCAUAACGCCACAAACCGCAGCGACUCACGACUUCCUGUUUCCUGCUACGCAACACAACAGCCUUUCAGAUCAGAGGAGACACAAGACGAUAAAAACGUCCUCUUCUUCUGUUGACACUGAAGACGUGUAGCAGAGAGACAAGUCCUGCUCAAACAGUGUCCAAUACAGUGUUCCCAAUGAUGAAGACGAUGAUGAUGAUGUGGAGCAGGGAUGCAGAGGAGCUUGUGACCUUCUCAGCUCAUAAGCUUUAUUUCAACCAACCACGUGCCGGCUGACGGGUUCAUCAGUCGAGCAAACGAGUCGUGAAGUAUCGGCAACCAGACGGAACAGAAUCGAUAUGAAACGCAGAACGAGCCUCUUGUCUGUCGGAAGCGAUUCGCACUGAUGGAGUCAGACUGGCUUCCUCGUGAGAUUCAAUGUGUGUUUGGGAAGCAAAGAUUGCUAAUUAGCAUUAGCUUUCCAUUAGCUCCCGCGGUUUUCGGCCUCGGCGGUCGACCUGGCCGGCGCCCUGAUGUGGAGGGUCAAACGUAUAAAACAUAAGUUCAUCUUUUUAGGCUCCAAAAUGAAAACGGCUGACGACGCUGCGCUUUUCAGAAAGACAUUUUCACGUGGUCACAACUCAUGAUUUAUUUACUACAAAACAUUAUUCAAAAUGAACCAAACACCUUUGUAUUAUAAUUCCAGGGUUUCUCCUAGUUUACAACUUUGCAGGGGGAGCGGUUCUCGUUUCUAUUUCUGUACAGACACAUGGACACACAUACGCCACAUGUGUAUAUAUAUAUGUGUAUAUAUAUAUGUAUAUAUAUGGUCAUGUAUAUGACCAGAUAGAAACGAUCAAAACACUAAACUGACCUAAUUUACCUGUAGGACUUCAGAAAAGCAAAAACACACAUGAACAAAGCAAAACAGCAACAUUAGGUUUAUAUUUCAGAUAAAAUGUGAUCUGAUCAAAAUACUCAAAUGUGAAUUCAUCCAAUGAUGAAAAUGUCCCCCUCAAAAAGGUUUGUUUGAUAAAAACUACCCAAAAACACUACCCUAAAAUCAUUUAUUUAUUUUAACCCUAAAAGUUAUACAUGGAAAUAAUUGGAAUGGAAUUAAAGAAACUACCAAAAUAUCAGUUUUUUACUAAGUUUACUGUAAUAAUAGUUAAAAGAUGACUUAAUCUUAAAAGUUAAACUCGUCAAGCUGGAAUGAAAUGUAAGAAAUUAGGAUAAUUACUUAAUAUUCUGCAAUAAGAGGUUAGACAUCUUUAUUUAUAUAAUCUAUAUCUCAUUUUCUUUCCUGAACAAAUUAUCUUUUUUUUAAUUAACAAAAAAAGUCAGGACAUAAAGAAAAGAAAAGUUAAGGAAAAAUGAUCCAUAUAAAACAAUUAGUCAUUCUUCAAAGCUUUAAUGAAUAAGAAGAUGCUAAAAUGUAUGCAAAAAUAAAACUUCAAUAACAGAAUCAUUUUCAUCCCGAGGUUUGAACUGAUAUUUACCAAUAAAAUCCUUCCAGCUGCUGCACAGACUGAAACCUCUGGAGGAGCAAAGUGUGAGCAAAGGAGACAUGAGACCAAGUACACUGAACAAUCCGUUUCUUUAUUCAUUUUUUGUUUUCAUUUCAAUAUGUCUGUCAGGGUUUUUUUUGUUGAAGAUUUUAUUUUAAAUUAAAAUUUUGACACACUUAUAAAAGACAGCAUCUGCAUAGAGUUGUCAUCUUAAAGAUCCAUGAAGGGGGGGGGGUAAAAGGGGAGGGAUACUGGCACGUCACAUGAACUAAACAGAACAGCCAACAGCAGUACGAGAGAGGAGGGGGAGGAGGGGGAGGACAGGGAGGAAGGGUGGGACGGGGCGUGGAGGGGGGACAGAUCUCUUUUACAUUACGCUACGCACACAUACACACAAAAAAGAAACGGGAGACAAGUUGCAUUUCCAGUCAAAGUUGUUGUGGAGAGCGACGCUCUGUCCUUCAGUGGGUGUGUUGUUUUAGUGACCCCCCCUCUUGUCUUACCCCCCCCUGCAUUCUGAGUUAAAGCUGUGAAUGGGGUCCCUGCUGGAGGCGUGAGCUCAUCAUGGACAAAAGCCCUGGUUUCUCUGAAUAUUUAUAUCGCGCGUUGCAGUCGGCCUUUGAGGCCGGACCCGCCGACCCACAUGGGGGGGGGGGGGGGGGGGGUAACUUCGUCCUCAGAACGUUUGAAGGCGCGAAGCUGCUUCCGAUGAGGAGCUCAGCUUUGAGUGGCUUCCCCAUCUUUGAGAAACUGACACUAAAACCUCCUCCAGGAACCCGGACAAAUACGUGAUGGUGAGCGGCCCAUUGACUUACAGUGGGACUGAGACGAGGUCAGACCAUUGACUUACAGUGGGACUGAGACGAGGUCAGACCAUUGACUUACAGUGGGACUGAGACGAGGUCAGACCAUUGACUUACAGUGGGACUGAGACGAGGUCAGUCCAUUGACUUACAGUGGGACUGAGACGAGGUCAGACCAUUGACUUACAGUGGGACUGAGACAAGGUCAGACCAUUGACUUACAGUGGGACUGAGACGAGGUCAGACCAUUGACUUACAGUGGGACUGAGACGAGGUCAGACCAUUGACUUACAGUGGGACUGAGACCAUUGAUUUACACCUGAUGGUGAUUUGGUUUUUACUAAAAGAAACCUCUCCACGAUCAGUAAAUCAACACGGCACGUCUUUGUCAACAAUGCUCAAAUUUGCCGCCAUCCUUGAUCUGCACAUGCUAGCGAAGGUUAGCAGUGGGUGCUAGCGAAGGUUAGCAGUGGGUGCUAGCGAAGGUUAGCAGUGGGUAUGGGCUAAUUGCUGGGGUACAUGGUAGGUAGAGAGACCGGGUGGUGGGUAGCUGUGGUCGAGAGAGUCAGACAGACAAGCAGAGAGAGAGAGAGAGACCCGCUAAGUGAGGGGGGGGGAUUAACUCUUCUAAUAUGGAGGGAAGCACUUUCAUCAGAGGAGCCAGUGGGCGGAGCCUCUGGGACAGGUAUGAUUGACGUAGGUGUGAUUGUGGCCGGGUUUUCUUUCCACUUGUAAACGGGUUCCGAGUUCAUUUGAGGAAAACAACAACAACAACACCGUUUUUGUUUUUGUUUUUUAAAAGCAGUGUCUGAACUGAGCGAGACAAACGAAGACGCUGGAAGCUUUGUGUGUCUGUCUCUCUGCUGUCGUCUCUCAACCACGCGGAGAGCAAAGACGAUCGGGAGGGAGGACAGAGAUCAAGCUACUCGUCAACUUUGAAGGGAAUAGAUAUCUCAGUAGAUUUAUACAUAGACAUGCAAGUCAUUUUUUCUCUCUUUGAAGUUAUUUACAAUAAUUACAUAACACAAAUAAUCCAGUUUCAUUUUGACAAAAUUGCGAGCAUUCAAUAUUCAAUAUUACUAGUAUUAUUUAUUAUAGCAUAACUCCUUUUGUACUUCAUUGCUAUUACAGAAUCAUUACACCCUUUUUAAAAGUCGCCCUCUGUUUUUUGCAAAUGUUUUCCUGCAUUAAUAUUUGUCAUUUAUGGUAAUAAUAAUAAUAAUAAUAAUGAGGAUAAUAGCAAUGUCAUUUAAGUUUCCUACUUGCUGUGACAGGGAAUGUGUGGGCGUGGCCUAGCUUAUUGCCCCUCCCCCAUGACUCCUCCCCUCUCCCUACAAAGGAUAAAUAACUAUGAUUGGAACCCAAUCGUGCGAUGGAGAGCGAGCAGAAUGAAGCAAACAACAAACAAGUAAACAAACGCCUCCACUUCAUAAUCAUCAACAGGUUGUUGUUUUUCACUGAGAAACGAUUCUUCAGGAAGACAAAAAUCAUCACGUUGAAAGAGUUUAAUCGUCCGAGCUACAGAAAGUCUCCUUUCAGCACCCGUGUGCGGCGCUACACGCGGUCACUUCCACACAGGCUAGCGGCCAGCGGCUAGCAGCUAGCGGCUAACGGCUAACGGCGAGUCAAUCUUUGGCAACCAAACUCUCUCUUUAUGAUUUUAUUUUGCUUCCCGCUGUCAAAAAAACUGUAGAGCCAACAGAAGUGGUCGUGGUUUCACACACACACACACACACACACACACACACACACACACACACACACAGCUAUAGAAACGCAGUAUGUUGAUGUACGAUUUAUAUAUAUAAAUUGUAUAAAAGCAAAUCUCAAAUCCCAAACAAAAGGUGACUAAUUUUGCAUCAAAACAUUACGACUUUUGUCCGCUGCUUCACUCGAGUCCUUGAACGGGUUCCAGACAAACCAGACGAGAAGAAGAAACAGACUAACGAGCCAGAAGAACAUCUAAACCCUAAAAAGGUGACAUGAGCGCAGGAACCGACAGAACAAUACAAACAAAUGAAGAAGAACAGCGAAAUCUUUAAAUAGAAGAAAGCACCACGUGGCCUCGGCCUCGAGUAGAGAAGCUAAUAUGCUAAUUAUCAUAAUUGAUGCUCAUGAGUAAAGGAAAGGGGGGCGCGCAGCGGCUUGGGGGCCGUUGUUGUUGUUUAGUAACAUUUAGAGGUUUUGUUACGACAUAUUUUUACUGUUUGUAACAAAUAUCUUUAUUAAGUUUAAACUUUGUGCUCUUUGAUUUUGGCGCAAAUCAUUUUUUGAUUACAUGAAGGGGGCGCUUUGGUUUGAAUGUUAAUAAAUAAUAACAGCGAUCAUAGCGUCCUAUAAAUAUGUUGGAUCUCUUCUUCCAUCUGUCAACAAUGAAAACAAACAAACAAAAGUGGAAUUCAUCAAGCGGCUUCGCACAUCUAAACCAACUGGACGCGCACAGGUUGAACCGGGUUCACUGACAGGAGGCCCGAGGGGGCCGGGGGGCCCAAUAACACACAACACGCAUCCAUGGAAGCAAACAGCACACAGAUGGUAACCGAGGUAAUCCGGGGGGGUGACAGGGGUUGGAGGUCACUGACGGGGGCAAAGAUGGCUGUAAGUAACGGCAGCAUAUUUCAAAAGUUCUGCUUUGAAAAGUUCCCCUCAGUCCUUCUAACUCCGACCAAGUGACCAACUAAUCACGUGUUUAACCUUUGAGAUUCAAAACCAGCCGAGAUCGCAAGUAGGAACAAGUAGUCAGCUAACGUGCUAAUGUGCAACCCAACAUCAGGUCGGCUGAGCGGUAAAGUGCUCGACAUGGAGGGCAGGUUGAGGGUGGGGUACAAAAAACACCAUCAUGCAAACUCCACAACGCUUGCAUGCCUUUUUUAUUACCAUUGUUAUUAUUGAUGUGAUCAGUAUAAUCAUCGUUACACACGGCGGGGGGGCGAGGGCCCCCGGGGACGGGAGCUCUCAGGCUCUCAGGCUCAAUACUCUUUUUUUUCCGUACAACCAACGACACAAACAGGAAAAAGGAAGACAGAAGGGCGAAAAUCACAGGAACGUCACAGGAAACACAGCAAGAGACCCUCAUGCCGCUGCUCUGCCUUCCGCCGGCUAAACAUCGGAACGCCCACAACAACCGCCCACAACAACCGCCCACAACCGCCCACAACAACCGCUCACAACAACCGCCCACAACAACCGCCCACAACCGCCCACUACAACCGCCCACAACAAUCGCCCACAACAACCGCCCACAACAACCCGCCCACAACAACCGCCCACAACCGCCCACAACAACCGCCCACAACAACCGCCCACAACCGCCCACAACCGCCCACAACGACCGCCCACCGUGAUCUUUAGAGGGAAACCCAACAUGGUUUGAGAGCUCCGCGGAGACACCUGGGAAAUGUAGUUAAAACAACUGGUUAAAUCCCUUUGUGAACAGAUUCAGUGUCUGUUGUACAUCUAAAAAACACUCAGAAAGACGGGAUGAAUCUACCAACACUACAGCAGAGAAAAGUGCUUCAUUCUACAUCUACGGAUCUACACGUCUACUGGACUGAUGCUGCUCGGAGGGCUCGUGUUUGCUAAGCUUUGGUCAACACAGAAAUUUUGGUUUUGGGAAGUAAAAGAAUAAAAGAAAAAGUCCCACAUCCACUCUUCUCCAAACCUGGAGCUCAAAGCCCUCGUUUCUUUAUUUAAUCUAGCGACAAAUAUCACAGACAUCGAUGGGUAACGGCGCUAAUCACUAUCUAUCACUACGACGCCCAAAGACACACGUGUUCAACAAGCAGCUCCGCUCAGCGACCGGAAGGAGCCUCGUCGGGACGUAAAGACGUCCAGAGGAGCCUAAAGACGCGUAAAGACGUCCAGAGGAGCCUAAAGACG
Molecule: long non-coding RNA, 7542 nt
Organism: Gasterosteus aculeatus aculeatus (three-spined stickleback)
Lineage: Eukaryota; Metazoa; Chordata; Actinopteri; Perciformes; Gasterosteidae
Source: Ensembl